This is an RNA transcript of Trematomus bernacchii (emerald rockcod), 1883 nucleotides long. It is a transcript of the gene named serine incorporator 1-like, with no coding region annotated. The transcript has 11 exons. The record is from RefSeq and is a predicted model, not a curated record. Lineage: Eukaryota; Metazoa; Chordata; Actinopteri; Perciformes; Nototheniidae.
CCUGUCUGCUGUGCAGCUGCUGUCCCAGCACCAGGAACUCCACGGUGACCCGGAUCAUCUACGCCUUCAUCCUGCUGCUGGGGACCAUCGUGGCCUGCAUCAUGCUGUCCCCGGGGGUCGAUCAGCAGCUGAAAAGGAUCCCUGGCUUCUGUGAAGACGGGGCCGGCUCCUCUAUCCCUGGCAUGCAGGCCGAUGUCAACUGUGAGAUGUUCGUGGGCUACAAGGCAGUGUACCGCAUCUGCUUCGGCAUGAGCAUGUGGUUCCUGGGGUUUUCCAUCCUGAUGAUUAACAUCAAGAACAGCAGAGACCCCCGUGCUGCCAUCCACAACGGAUUCUGGUUCUUUAAGUUUGCUGCCCUGGUGGCAGUUACAGUUGGCGCCUUUUAUAUUCCAGAUGGGCCUUUCACCUACACGUGGUUUGUGGUGGGCUCUGGGGGGGCUUUUUGCUUCAUCCUGAUCCAGCUGGUGCUGCUGGUGGACUUCGCCCACUCAUGGAACGAGUCAUGGGUGGAGAAGAUGGAGACCGGCAGUUCCAGGUGCUGGUACGCAGCGUUGCUGGUGGUCACUCUCAUCAACUACAUCAGGUCCUUUACUGCUGUGGUGCUGUUCUUCAUCUUCUACACAAAGCCUGAUGGAUGCUCCAUCAACAAGUUCUUCAUCAGCUUCAACAUGUUGUUCUGCCUGGUGGCCUCCUUCCUCUCUGUGCUGCCUAAAGUUCAGGAGUCGCAGACCCGUUCAGGUCUCCUGCAGUCCUCCAUCAUCACCCUGUACACCAUGUAUCUCACCUGGUCCGCCAUGACUAAUGAACCUGAUCGAGAGUGUAACCCCAGCCUGCUGAGCCUCUUCCAGCAGAUAGCAGUGCCCACCCUGGCCCCUCUGGAGAUGGAGAACCAGACGGCGGUGCUGAUCCUGGGCCCGGACACAGAGGAGCCCGUCCUUACGUCCCCCUACCUGCCGUGGUGGGAUGCCCAGAGCAUCGUGGGGCUCGCCAUCUUUGUCCUCUGCAUCCUUUACUCAAGAGACAGAUCGAUGAGAUCAAAGACCCGAAGCAGGAUCGGCAGAGGCUUCUGGAUGAGAUCCGCUCGCUGGAGAGCAACAACAAGGAUCUGGAGAGGACCGUCUCUGGAUACGAGACCAGCCAGAACAAGCUUCAGAAGGAGCUGGUUAAGGUCGGUCACAGCAACACUCAGCUGAAGCUCAGCGUCUCCGAGCUGAGGCUCAAAGUGAGGAAUGGAAACAAGGAGAUGCACAAGAUGGCGCAGAAGGUGGAGCAAAGUGACGUUGAAGGAGAAUUUUAUAGGGCUUUCUGUCGGCAGCGUGAGCAUAUGGAGAAAAUGGUCAACGGGCUCAAGACCAGACUGGCCAGAUCUGGUAGGCAGCAUGAUCAGGCCUAUGACAAGAUCCAGAAGCCUGCCGCUCUGCUGCUGCCUGCUUUGACAGCUCAGAUCUAGAUGGAUUACUGUAAGCCAAUAAAUCUGUCGGAGUCUGUGCCCCAGUGGUGACAGCCUGACGACCCCUGCUUGUGUGCCUCUACCCGUGUACGAAGGCAUGCCCAAGUUUCCACAUGCUCCCUGAACAUGGUGUCAAAGUCAAAAUCCCUGUGAAGCAGCCAAACAUAUCAUGGCAUAUGGCUGGGGGACUGUGUGCCCUUAACCUGCAUCUGAUCCAGUGAUAGGCUGAGAUCCCACAAAUCACAUUCAGCCUGUCCACAUGUAGAGUAAGUACACCACAUGUACACUACAUGUCAACCCCAUACGAUGAGCAGGUAGAUAUGCAGAGCCUUGUAUACCUGUCAUUCAAAAUAUAAACACAAGCAGUAUUAGAGUAGGUCAGUGCACUGUCACUGGUAGACUAUUCAAAGACGUUUUGUUUGUCACGAUGACA